This 495-nucleotide ribosomal RNA is filed under the name uncultured bacterium. Its description in RNAcentral is "partial 16S ribosomal RNA". It matches the Rfam family "Bacterial small subunit ribosomal RNA", at positions 28 to 507 of the family's 1533-position model. The record is from RNAcentral.
GACGAACGCUGGCGGCGUGCCUAAUACAUGCAAGUAGAACGCUGAAGGAGGAGCUUGCUUCUCUGGAUGAGUUGCGAACGGGUGAGUAACGCGUAGGUAACCUGCCUGGUAGCGGGGGAUAACUAUUGGAAACGAUAGCUAAUACCGCAUAAUAGUAGAUGUUGCAUGACAUUUGCUUAAAAGGUGCACUUGCAUCACUACCAGAUGGACCUGCGUUGUAUUAGCUAGUUGGUGGGGUAACGGCUCACCAAGGCGACGAUACAUAGCCGACCUGAGAGGGUGAUCGGCCACACUGGGACUGAGACACGGCCCAGACUCCUACGGGAGGCAGCAGUAGGGAAUCUUCGGCAAUGGACGGAAGUCUGACCGAGCAACGCCGCGUGAGUGAAGAAGGUUUUCGGAUCGUAAAGCUCUGUUGUAAGAGAAGAACGAGUGUGAGAGUGGAAAGUUCACACUGUGACGGUAGCUUACCAGAAAGGGACGGCUAACUACGUG